Ictidomys tridecemlineatus (thirteen-lined ground squirrel) is the source of this 4650-nucleotide long non-coding RNA. RefSeq lists it as uncharacterized. The record is from RefSeq and is a predicted model, not a curated record. NCBI's taxonomy places the organism in Eukaryota, Metazoa, Chordata, Mammalia, Rodentia, Sciuridae.
AACCUUCUCUCCAUCCUACUCCCUGCUCCUCCUACAGAGGAGGCCUUCUCUUCCCCUCUCCUCUGGGUGCUUCCUGUCAAUACCCAGACACCCAGGAGUCCCUCCUUGCUUUUGACACAAGACACUCGCGGUUCCUUUUGUACUUUCCCUGCCCCAACCCUGAACUAGGUCAGUUCCCCAGCAGCCCUGGUUGAGCUAGUGGCAGGAGUCGUGAGCAGCCAGAUCCAGGUGCUGCCUGAGUGCUCACUGCCACUGGGGUAUCCCUGAUUCUAGUGCCCACCAGGAGUCAGCUGGUGGGAGCAGAUGUGUCCACGUGCACACACCUAUAUGUGCACACAGCCACAUGGAUAUCCUCAGGUGUCUUCCUAAGAGUGAUGGAGCAUGGAGCACAUUCAGUGCCAGGGGACAAUGGAAAGGCAGAGGGGCAGGGGUUUGGGGCAUUGGCAGGUGGGUCCCAGACUCUGAGGGUCAGAGACUGUCCUCAGAUCCCACAGGGCUGGUGCCACCCAUUAAUUCCCGCCUCAGUCAAGGAUUUAAAGUAGAAAUGAGAAGAGCGAGUGAGUUAGAGGGGACACAGAGGCAGCAGCAAGGCUUCUCUGCUGCUGUGGGACCUUCAGGCCCAGACCCUGCCCUCCUGGGUCUUUGCAUGCCUGGCUCAGGGCCUUGGUCGGGGAGGUCAGACUGGGCAGCACAGGCACUGUUGAGGCUGGGCCCUGAGGCCAUCCAUGCAGUUGGGCCCAGAACCAUGGAGAAAAGCCACACGUGAAGUCACCAGCCCAGUGCUUGCCCCAGCCUUCCCCCUUGGAGGUGCAGCCCCAGGGAUUGCAUGUCAUCUGUAGGCAUUUGGGGUGAUGUGGUACCUUCCCUGAGACUUACCCUACAACCCUGACAGAAAUCCUCAUUUAUGUGUUUAUGGAGGGGGUGUGAGGGGCAAAGUUGAGCCAGGGAGGAGGCUGCCACCUGAUUCUGUCGCCUUCGGAUAUGCACAGUCAGGCCUCUGGCCCUGGGGACAGGUGCCUUAGACCUUGGCCAAACCCACCGGGAACCCUCAGGAGCUUCCAGACUCCAGCCAGGGCCCCUCCCUGCAGAUGAUAAGGAGCCAGCCUUCCCCUUUGUACCUUAGAAGGUCCAAAGGGCCCAGCUUCUGUCCUCCCUGACCUACCCUCCACUUCUUUCAGCCCAGGCCUUUGUAUUUUUUGGUUCAUAUCUGCCACCCAGCCCCCUCCACAGUGGGGCAAAAAUCCUUCAGCCAGGAGCCCAAGGCUUCUCCUGAUCCCUUCCCGCGACACCACCUUCUCCACAAGGAUCAUAGACAUCGGCCUGCCGAGGGCCAGGCCAGCGGUCAGCUGCAGAGCUGAGCAGGGCCCCAGGGUGGAGGCACUGCCCAGGAUCUGGCUUGGCGCCCAGCCUUCUCUCAAAACCCAGGGAGCUUGGAUGUAUAACUCGGAUGCCCCUCCCCCAUCUGCUCUUCAGCAGGAAAUGGUCUAACGGGAAAGUAGGUCUUUUUAAAUCUGAAUUAUUCAAACAAUCUGUGCACGUGACUGGGACCCAAAGCAAGGCCUGGACGCACCCAGGUGCCUCUCUCCAGCCAGGCUUUGAAGGCUCUCUCUCACAGCUGCAGAGUGACUCUCCAUAUCCGGAUACAGUAAGAGGGCAGGAGUGGAGAGGCCACUGCCCCUUUGUCCUGCUGGGUAUCUGUCCCUGUCUUGCUCAACACUGGUCCACCAUGCGGACCUCCACAUUGCCUCCAGGAGGUGAGAUGGAGCCUGGCCCUGCCUCCACACUGCAAGGACAGGGAAGAGCACGUGGUGCCCAGGGGAUGCAGAAUGUAGGUGACCAAGAGGAAAGCUUUAAUUAGUUUCUGCAGGCUACCUAAGGCAGGGUCUGGUGAAGGAACAGGGCCACACUCCGGGGGAGACCACACUCCUCCCUAACCCUUGGCACUCUGCCCAAGUGCACUGGGAAUGGGCAGGACCAAGGCCCUUACCUCAAGAGUCCUGUCCAGCCGCACAGCUGUCAGCUUGCUGGAAGGGAUGAGGAGGAACAUAGGGAGAGCUGGGUGGGCAGCUCUAUGUGGACUGGUUAGUGAGACAGUAAGGGUGUAGACUGGAGAGACCUGGUGGUGAGUGGCCUGCAGACCAGGGGAAGAUGGUGACCAGAUAGGAGUGCCUGGCGAGGUCACAGGUAUGCCUUCAGGAGGAUGCUAUGCAGCAGAGCUAGGGCGGGGCCUCAGGGAGGAGGCCAGUGCUGCCUGUGGGCCCCAGCAGACCUUGAAGGAUCCCUGAAGUCCUUCCCACAAGUACAGGGAGCCAGCGUCUGUCCCCAGCCUCCCAUCCCACUGGCUCCUGACCCUCCUGGUCUCCCACCUCAGCCAUAGACCAGACAUCCCUGUGCAAGGGCACCAAAACAUGGAAGACAGCAGGAAAUCGUGCAGUGCCAGGUGGGGCAGAGGGCAUGUUUCUCCCUCCGCAGAGUUGGACCAGAAGCCUAGGGAAAGUUCAGGCAGCUCCUGGAGGCUGACGGUGUUGCCCAGCCGAGCCGAGACAAGGACUCAGGUGUGCAGCUCAGACCUGGCCAGAGGGGGCUGCCUCUAGGAGCCAGGUGGUAGCUCCUUCUCUGCUUGGCAAGGAAAUGGCUGCCAGCCUCAGGUACCCUCACCCCUGGAAGAGCACCACAGAAGACUCCGAUGUCUGUAGGCUAACCCCAUAAGGACCCCAGACAGCCUCCCUCAGGUUCCUGGGGCCCUGGUGGCAGGGAAGGGAGGGGCCGUAACUAAGGGCUCUGUUGGGUCAAUGUGCAACACCCAGCACAAAGGCAGGAGGUGGGAGAUUGCUGGGUGGCAGAAGCAGCAGCCCAGGUGGUCCCCGCCAGCUUGGUGGCUAAAACCUGGGCUUGGCUCCAGCUGAAGUGCUUCACUGGUGGUUGGCUUUAUAGCUGAGGUUAGUUUGACUAACACCUGCAGCUCUGACUGCCCCCUCUUGGAGCCCUGGGCCUGACUGCAGGGGUGAGGCAUGACCUUGACAAGGUCAGCCAAGGCAUCUCCGAGACACUGGCUUCUCAAAGUGUCCACCUACCUGCAGAGACAAGGGACAGCUGGGAGAACACAGCCCAGGGCCUCUCCUCCUCACCGAGGUCAGGAACCCCCUGGCCUGAGGGGAUACUGGGGUGAAGCCCUGGGGUGCAGCAGGCCCAAGUCUUCCCUCCCCAGGCAUCCUCGGGGGCAUCUUCUGGGGUAGGGGUACUAUGGACCCAAACACAGAUAAAAGGGCAGAGUGGCCACAAGUGGACAGGGAUGCAGGGACAUACACCUCUGCCCACAGGAGGAAGCCAGGUGGGUGGGCAUCAGGGUGUGUAAAAGGGACGGCCCAGAGGUAGCCACCUAGCUAGGCCUUGGGGCUCUGAGCCCUUGGGACAAUUUCUGGGCCCCCAACCUCCUCCCCUACCUCCUGUCACCCGCAGACGCUGGUGUGCUCAGAGGGGCCCCUGGGGCAGGUGAGCGGGGACGUACACACCCUGGGUGACCAGUGCAGGGGACCCGGGCUUCCUACCCACACCUCAGAGCCCUAAGCCUGGAGCAGGUCACACAGUGACUCCAGGAGCAGGGACAAAGGCAGGCAUGGUCCCGAGGGUCAGAACACGGCGCCCAGGAGCCAGCGGGCCGCUCUCAGGGCUGCUGGACCGCUGCAGCCUGGGCUCUGUUGGCCUCCCCGGCCAGCGCCUUCUUCAGGAAGGGAGCUCCAGCUGGUAUGGGGAUUCGCCUCCUGGGAUGGUGCCCUGGGAUUUGGCUCCCCCGACGCCUGCCAGGUAAACAGCUUGUACUUGGGGCGCCAGCUGGGGAGCAGAUAGAUCAGCCCCCAGCUUCCAUGAGGUCUAGUCCACGAGGGGCCUGGCUCAGGGCCCACAGGUGCCUCUGAGAGCAAAGCUUUCCCAAGCCCCUGCCCAUGGCCCUGUUGGGCCCUGUCAGGUAACUGGGCCACCCGGAGGGGGUCCCAGGGCCUCAACCAGAGUGCUCUGGAGCUGCCCUUCACCCAGGAUGUCCGGCAGAACCACCUCCAGUGUUCACCAGGGGUCUGGCCAAGCUCCACAGCCAGAGCACGCCUGCGGGUGUUGAUGCUGCAGUGCACCCGGCCCCUGGACACCGAGCAGGCCUGCCCUUUCCCCUGGGCCUCCAUCCUGGCCACUGUCCUCAGCGCUCUAGGGAUUCCCGCUGGUCACUCCCAGGCCGCUCUGGCCGGCGCUGUACCCCUUUGGCCUGCGCCGACAUCGCAGUGCCCGCCUUUUACUGCUGUGAAUCGAGCUGCGGAGGACACCUGGCCGAGUUCCUGUCUGAACAUUUGCCUCGUCAUGAGGUGGCUCCACGUUGAACGAGGGUCCCACAGCGGCUGCACCGCUUUCCUUCCCAGCAGCGCGAGGGGGCCCAAUGUCUACACAGAUGACCAACUUGUCUCCUUUUAAAAAAGACAAUAGCCAUUCCUGGUGGGCUUGAAGUGGUAUCUCUCCGCGACCAGUAGUGACCUGCAGUAUUUUCCCUGUCUUAUUGGCCAUCCCUGGGUCUUCUUUGGAGCAAUGUCUACUCAAGUCUAUGUUACUCAUCUUUAUGUCUCUGUGACAAAACACCUGGGAAAAUAAACUUAGAGGAGGAAAGAUUUA